RNAcentral lists this ribosomal RNA (615 nucleotides) under Bacillus sp. BF. RNAcentral describes it as "bacterial SSU rRNA". It matches the Rfam family "Bacterial small subunit ribosomal RNA", at positions 160 to 760 of the family's 1533-position model. The record is from RNAcentral. Lineage: Bacteria; Bacillati; Bacillota; Bacilli; Caryophanales; Bacillaceae.
GGGCUAAUACCGGAUAACAUUUUGAACUGCAUGGUUCGAAAUUGAAAGGCGGCUUCGGCUGUCACUUAUGGAUGGACCCGCGUCGCAUUAGCUAGUUGGUGAGGUAACGGCUCACCAAGGCAACGAUGCGUAGCCGACCUGAGAGGGUGAUCGGCCACACUGGGACUGAGACACGGCCCAGACUCCUACGGGAGGCAGCAGUAGGGAAUCUUCCGCAAUGGACGAAAGUCUGACGGAGCAACGCCGCGUGAGUGAUGAAGGCUUUCGGGUCGUAAAACUCUGUUGUUAGGGAAGAACAAGUGCUAGUUGAAUAAGCUGGCACCUUGACGGUACCUAACCAGAAAGCCACGGCUAACUACGUGCCAGCAGCCGCGGUAAUACGUAGGUGGCAAGCGUUAUCCGGAAUUAUUGGGCGUAAAGCGCGCGCAGGUGGUUUCUUAAGUCUGAUGUGAAAGCCCACGGCUCAACCGUGGAGGGUCAUUGGAAACUGGGAGACUUGAGUGCAGAAGAGGAAAGUGGAAUUCCAUGUGUAGCGGUGAAAUGCGUAGAGAUAUGGAGGAACACCAGUGGCGAAGGCGACUUUCUGGUCUGUAACUGACACUGAGGCGCGAAAGC